Molecule: unclassified non-coding RNA, 352 nt
Filed under: soil metagenome
Description: partial contains 5.8S ribosomal RNA, internal transcribed spacer 2, and large subunit ribosomal RNA
Rfam family: 5.8S ribosomal RNA (bases 1-120)
Source: RNAcentral
GAUGAAGAACGCAGCGAAAUGCGAUACGUAAUGUGAAUUGCAGAAUUCAGUGAAUCAUCGAAUCUUUGAACGCACAUUGCGCCCGCCAGUAUUCUGGCGGGCAUGCCUGUUCGAGCGUCAUUACAACCCUCAGGCCCCCGGGCCUGGCGUUGGGGAUCGGCGGAAGCCCCCUGUGGGCACACGCCGUCCCUCAAAUACAGUGGCGGUCCCGCCGCAGCUUCCAUUGCGUAGUAGCUAACACCUCGCAACUGGAGAGCGGCGCGGCCAUGCCGUAAAACACCCAACUUCUGAAUGUUGACCUCGAAUCAGGUAGGAAUACCCGCUGAACUUAAGCAUAUCAAUAAGCGGAGGA